GAAAAAAGAAGUUAAGAUGGGUGCUAAUAAAAUGCAGCGCUAUAUAGCGUUUAAUGAGAUAGUGAAGAUAUCAUUGCACCAUGAAACUGACAGGAAUGUUUUAAUUUACUCACAGGUGGAAGUAGAUGUACCAGUAAGAGAUGUUCAGCGGUUUACAGGUCGCAAAUAAAAUGUAAAAUUCUACAAUGGCAGAAACAAGAAAUACAAACUAAUAGGAGCCAUCUACACCAUGUUUUUUUCUGACAAGAGAUGAAAAAUGCAGUGAUU
Long non-coding RNA from Mobula hypostoma (lesser devil ray), 267 nucleotides. RefSeq lists it as uncharacterized. The record is from RefSeq and is a predicted model, not a curated record. The transcript is spliced from 3 exons. NCBI's taxonomy places the organism in Eukaryota, Metazoa, Chordata, Chondrichthyes, Myliobatiformes, Myliobatidae.